AUUGAACGCUGGCGGCAUGCCUUACACAUGCAAGUCGAACGGCAGCACGGGAGCAAUCCUGGUGGCGAGUGGCGGACGGGUGAGUAAUAUAUCGGAACGUGCCCAGUCGUGGGGGAUAACGUAGCGAAAGCUACGCUAAUACCGCAUACGAUCUAUGGAUGAAAGCGGGGGAUCGCAAGACCUCGCGCGAUUGGAGCGGCCGAUAUCAGAUUAGGUAGUUGGUGAGGUAAAGGCUCACCAAGCCGACGACCUGUAGCUGGUCUGAGAGGACGACCAGCCACACUGGGACUGAGACACGGCCCAGACUCCUACGGGAGGCAGCAGUGGGGAAUUUUGGACAAUGGGCGCAAGCCUGAUCCAGCAAUGCCGCGUGCAGGAUGAAGGCCUUCGGGUUGUAAACUGCUUUUGUACGGAACGAAACGGCGAGCUCUAAUACAGUUUGCUAAUGACGGUACCGUAAGAAUAAGCACCGGCUAACUACGUGCCAGCAGCCGCAGUAA
RNAcentral lists this ribosomal RNA (500 nucleotides) under uncultured bacterium. RNAcentral's name for it is "partial 16S ribosomal RNA". It matches the Rfam family "Bacterial small subunit ribosomal RNA", at positions 30 to 523 of the family's 1533-position model. The record is from RNAcentral.